RNAcentral lists this ribosomal RNA (519 nucleotides) under uncultured bacterium. Its description in RNAcentral is "partial 16S ribosomal RNA". It matches the Rfam family "Bacterial small subunit ribosomal RNA", at positions 28 to 507 of the family's 1533-position model. The record is from RNAcentral.
GACGAACGCUGGCGGCGUGCCUAAUACAUGCAAGUCGAGCGAGCUUGCCUAGAUGAAUUUGGUGCUUGCACCAGAUGAAACUAGAUACAAGCGAGCGGCGGACGGGUGAGUAACACGUGGGUAACCUGCCCAAGAGACUGGGAUAACACCUGGAAACAGAUGCUAAUACCGGAUAACAACACUAGACGCAUGUCUAGAGUUUAAAAGAUGGUUCUGCUAUCACUCUUGGAUGGACCUGCGGUGCAUUAGCUAGUUGGUAAGGCAACGGCUUACCAAGGCAAUGAUGCAUAGCCGAGUUGAGAGAAUGAUCGGCCACAUUGGGACUGAGACACGGCCCAAACUCCUACGGGAGGCAGCAGUAGGGACUCUUCCACAAUGGACGCAAGUCUGAUGGAGCAACGCCGCGUGAGUGAAGAAGGGUUUCGGCUCGUAAAGCUCUGUUGGUAGUGAAGAAAGAUAGAGGUAGUAACUGGUCUUUAUUUGACGGUAAUUACUUAGAAAGUCACGGCUAACUACGUG